CAGCCGCCGCGGUAAUACGAAGGGGGCUAGCGUUGUUCGGAAUUACUGGGCGUAAAGCGCACGUAGGCGGAUAUUUAAGUCAGGGGUGAAAUCCCAGAGCUCAACUCUGGAACUGCCUUUGAUACUGGGUAUCUCGAGUAUGGAAGAGGUGAGUGGAAUUCCGAGUGUAGAGGUGAAAUUCGUAGAUAUUCGGAGGAACACCAGUGGCGAAGGCGGCUCACUGGUCCAUUACUGACGCUGAGGUGCGAAAGCGUGGGGAGCAAACAGG
RNAcentral lists this ribosomal RNA (268 nucleotides) under uncultured prokaryote. RNAcentral describes it as "partial 16S ribosomal RNA". It matches the Rfam family "Bacterial small subunit ribosomal RNA", at positions 509 to 776 of the family's 1533-position model. The record is from RNAcentral.